GGUGGUGGGAACAACUCAACGAACCAGCACAUCAGCACAUCCGGGAAACUUGUCUCUGUCAGACAUCACAGGAAUAUUCAAGCUACAGUUGGGACUAACACGGAGUAGCAUUAAAGUGAAUUACUUUCAAACGUCUAAAUCAGUAGAUGUACUCAUAGUUGAUCGCACUUUCUAGUUGAUUUGAAAUCUGGAAAGUUGAUUAGGAGAAUAACACUGCUGCCGGUACUCAGCAGGAUGCAGAUGUAAAGUAAUUCGUCUUGAACCAUCUCUUGGCCCCAGAUAACCUCGCAGUGACACUGCUGUGUGCUUCUAUCCUGUUCUUUCCUUUGGCUGCCAACCUACAUGUUCUUACAUGAAGAGAGGGGAGAAACCCGAAGGAUAUCGACAGAUGCGACCCAAGACUUUCCCCGCCAGCAACUACAGUGGCAACAGCCACCAGAUGCUGCAGGAAAUUCGGGAGAGUCUCCGUAACCUUUCCCGGCCUUCUGACCUCCCUAAGGUAGACAUGGGGGGCGCUGGAAAGGUGAUGCCUGAAGAUCCCAGGCAGCAAGGGCGCUGCAGCAACCCCAAAAACCCCUACUACAAGGCCUUGCAGGAGAUUCGCAAGUCCCUGAUGCCUUUUGCCAAUGAGCCCAGCUCUUCUGGACGGACUGCAGAGGUUAACAAACAGAUGCUGCUGGAGCUGCUGUCUGCUGGCUUUGAGGAGGAAAUGGUGAUCCGUGCUCUGAAGCAGACCAACAGUCGCAGUGUGGAGGCAGCCAUAGAGUACAUUAGUAAGAUGAGCUACCAGGAUCCUGUGAGGGAGCAGAUGGUGGCUGCCGCCGCCCGCCCUGUCAAUGCAGGCAUGAAAGCCCCCGGCUCAUCUCACAUUCAGCAGCCUGUGCUGAGGAGGCAGAGCUGGAAGGGUUCCAAGGAGUCUCUGGUUCAGAGACAUGGCCCCAUGAUGGUGGAGGGGAUGAUUUACCAUUCAGACAGCCCUGGACCCCAGGGUGACCUGGCAGGACGAGGCCCACCCCCAGCCUUCCCACAGGGUCACCCUGGCAACAACCAACGGGUCAACCCUCCCCUACCCCCUCAGGUGCGCAGUGUCACCCCUCCCCCAAACAGAGGUGCAACCCCGCCCCCACCUUCCUGGGACAAUAACCUCUCCACUAAGCGCUUCUCUGGCAACAUGGAUUACCUCGUGCCCCGCAUCUCUCCUGUUCCCCAAGGGGCCUGGCCUGAAGGCUACUCAGCCCCCCAGAACCAGAGGGGCAUCAGCCCAGUGCCCAUGGGCCGUCAGCCCAUCAUCAUGCAGAGCUCUGGGGGUAACAAGUUCAGCUUCCCCUCCAGCUGGUCUCAGAACGGCUCCACUCAGCCAGACUACAUGGGUCACCAGAGUGGUGGCAGCAGACAACCCCCUCCCCCUUACCCAGUGAAUCAGAGUAACAGACAAAGCCCAACCGCUCAACAGAUGCAGGCCGGAGGACCUGCCUCCUCCCCAUCCUACAUCAAUGGGGGUAACCUCCCCCAGUCCAUGAUGGUGCCUAACCGGAACAGUCACAAUCUUGACAUGUACAACAUGGGCGUGCCUCAGUCCUGGUCCCAAGCCCCCCCUGGCCAGCCUCAGUCCUCCCCAGGUAGUAGUAACCAGGACGUGUCCCCGUCAUGGCAGCAGCACACCAUCCCUGUCCGAUCUAGCUCCUUCAACAGCCACCAGAUGAGCAACAGGCAGGGCCACCCGGCCAGCUCCCAGCCCUCUGCCACCACAGUGACAGCCAUCACCCAGGCCCCCAUCCUGCAGCCUGUGAAGAGCAUGCGUGUGCAGAAGCCUGAGCUACACACUGCCGUGGCCCCCGCACACCCACCCUGGAUGCAUCAGCCCCCUGCACCUCCCACUACCUUCCAGGAGCCGCUACCACCCAUGCCCCAGGUACCCAUGGCAGUAGCAGAGGUGCCCAGUUACCAGGGUCCUCCACCCCCAUACCCCAAACACCUCCUCCAGCAACCUGUUGCACACUGCCUUGCCUAUGACCCAGGGCCCAAGCCCAGUUCUGGGAGAGAGGAGGCUGCAGAGGAGGAGGAUUGUAGCAGCACUGCUAGUGACAGGCCAGAAGGCCCAGACUUUGCUGCUGUGGGAACAGAGAAGGAUAAUAAACAGAUCACCACAUCUCCAGUGCCUGUACGCCGGAACAAGAAAGACGAGGAACGACGAGGAGACCCCAGAGUGCCUCUCUACUCUCCCCAGGCCUUCAAGUUCUUCAUGGAGCAGCACGUUGAGAACAUCCUGAAGAACCACCAGAUGAGGAUCCAUAGGAAGAAACAGCUGGAGAGUGAGAUGCAGAGGCUGAUGUAGAAGGUAAAGGUAUCUCCUAUCAAUGCUGUGUCCUGUAUAGUCCACACAGAUCAGUGACCAAGUCAAGUUGUCAGGGGAUGCCCAGGAGCAGAUGCGCAUGAUGCUGUCUCAGAAAGAGUCCAACUACAUCCGACUGAAGCGGGCCAAGAUGGACAAGUCCAUGUUUAAGAGGAUCAAGACCCUGGGCAUCGGCGCCUUUGGAGAGGUGUGUCUAGCCCGGAAGGAGGACACUGGAGCCCUGUACGCCAUGAAGACGCUGCGCAAGAAGGACGUUCUCCUCAGGAACCAGGUGGCCCACGUCAAGGCAGAGCGAGACAUCCUGGCUGAGGCUGAUAAUGAGUGGGUGGUGCGACUCUACUACUCCUUCCAGGACAAGGACAACCUGUACUUUGUGAUGGACUACAUCCCCGGAGGAGACAUGAUGAGUCUGCUGAUCCGCCUGGGCCUCUUCAAAGAGGAGUUGGCUCAGUUCUACAUCGCUGAGCUCACUUGCGCCGUGGAGAGCGUGCACAGGAUGGGCUUCAUCCACCGUGACAUCAAGCCAGACAACAUCCUCAUAGACCGGGACGGACACAUCAAGCUCACCGACUUUGGCCUCUGCACCGGCUUCCGCUGGACACAUGACUCGAAGUACUACCAGAGUGGAGACCAUGUUCGGCAGGACAGCAUGGACUUCAGUAAGGAAUGGGAGCAGGACCCAUCUAACUGUCGAUGUGCAGACCGGCUCAAGCCCCUGGAGAGGAGGAAGGCAAGGCAACACCAACGCUGCCUGGCUCACUCCCUGGUGGGGACACCUAACUACAUCGCUCCAGAGGUGCUGCUAAGGACGGGAUACACCCAACUGUGUGAUUGGUGGAGUGUUGGUGUCAUUCUGUAUGAAAUGGUGGUUGGGCAACCUCCUUUCUUAGCAACUACACCCCUGGAAACCCAGCUCAAGGUGAUAAACUGGCAGACCACCCUGCACAUCCCCCCUCAAGCAAAGCUGAGCCCAGAGGCAUCAGACCUUAUCAUUAAACUAUGCCGUGGCCCAGAGGACCGCCUUGGCAAGAACGGUGCCGACGAGAUCAAGGUGCAGCCCUUCUUUAAGACCAUCGACUUCUCCAACGACCUGCGGCAAAUGCAACCGGCCCCCUACAUCCCCACCAUCGCUCACUGCACAGACACCUCCAACUUUGACCCGGUGGAUCCAGACAAGCUGUGGAGCAGCAACAACGAAGGUGAGGGCAACCACAACGACACCCUCAAUGGGUGGUUCAGGAACGGCAAGCACCCCGAGCACGCCUUCUACGAGUUCACUUUCCGACGCUUCUUCGAUGACAAUGGCCACCCCUACAGCUGUCCCAAGCCCAUUGGCAUAGAGUAUGAGGAGGGUUUUGAUGGGGACGAGGCAGACUCUGAGCCCCUGACACAGGAAGAGGGAGACCAGGAAGAGAGCAGCAGGGCACAGGGCCGUGAUUUGGUCUAUGUGUAGUAUCGUUUAAGAACAUGUUUGUUCUGCUGGACUGUUUCAACAUAAUAGGUCUGGGAAACGGGUUUCUGGUUUGUCAGAGAGCGAGUCAGGAUGUGUGUGUGUAUUCAGUGGCAUAUUCUGUGGGGCAGAACAAUUGUGAACAGAUAUAAUUGUACCAUUCAAGCAAAUACACGGUGCAUAAAACUACAGUAUAGUCCCUCUACACUACAGUCUACAAGAGGAGUGUUUAGUCUUUUCACACUACAAGUGUAUUCAUGGGGUUGUACAUGGUAAGGUUCAUAUGUGUUGACUCUGUUCAGACUUAAAUUAAUUGAAAGAAAAUAUCAGGGUUUUCUUUGAAAGAAUUAAAAACCCUGUUUUAAGCCUUAAUUUAUUCAAGAUAUUAUAAACUAUUAUAAACUGGUGAUGCUAGUUGAUAUAAGUAUGAGAAUUUUGGGGGGGAACUUGUUUUUAUUGGAAAUGUUCCUAAUUUAUAUUUUAAGGUCUUGCAAUGGGGAUAUACUGAUUUGCAGGGAUAAGUAACUCUUGAAUUAUUAAUUCCUGUGCCUUUGAUCUUCUGCUCUUUCACCAAAUACUGUAUAUGGGACUGCCAUUUCAAACUAGACUAGCUUGAGUUGAUUGAACUCAGAUUGUGUGUAUUUUUUGAAUUUAUACAUCAAAUGUAUUUAUAAAUGUAUAAAUAUUUUCUCUAUUCUUUUGGUUAGUUGAUAUUCAUUAGGGCAGGCCCUCUUCAUUAUUCCCCUCUAAAAUCUCUUUCCUCUGUAAUUUUUGUAAUUCCACAGUGUUUAUUUGGUUUAAUGUGGCCUUUCAGCACCAAGGAAAAUCUGAAAGGUACCUAUUGUAAUAAUACAAACAAACAAAAAAACAGUUGGAGCGGACAGGGUCUGUUAUGCUAUGUACAGUAAAUGUUAUUCUCUUUCAUCACUUCUUUCAUUCAGUCUCUCAACCAAAGCACUAGGCUACACUGUGUAUGAGCUCACUGACAUGGCUGACCUGUUAAUGAUGGACUGACGCUGUUGUAAUGGGAAACUGGAUUAUGAACAGGCACUCUUUAGUAGCUCAUGGUGGAUGGAUGGGUCUCCACUCCAUCCCAUCAUUUAGCCUGUUAUGUGUUUUGGAAAGCUAUGAAUGUAAUUAUGGAAUAGGAACACUGACAUUGCUGCACUGGUUUUAAUUACAUAAUUCGAUUUUAGUGUAAAUGUAUUUUGUGGAGGUUGGGUGUAGGGAACGGGAGUGAUUAAUAAACAAUGUAAAGCACUUCCA
This is an RNA transcript of Oncorhynchus kisutch (coho salmon), 5069 nucleotides long. It is a transcript of the gene named serine/threonine-protein kinase LATS1, with no coding region annotated. The transcript is spliced from 9 exons. NCBI's taxonomy places the organism in Eukaryota, Metazoa, Chordata, Actinopteri, Salmoniformes, Salmonidae. The record is from RefSeq and is a predicted model, not a curated record.